This 253-nucleotide ribosomal RNA is filed under the name uncultured bacterium. RNAcentral's name for it is "partial 16S ribosomal RNA". It matches the Rfam family "Bacterial small subunit ribosomal RNA", at positions 524 to 776 of the family's 1533-position model. The record is from RNAcentral.
UACGAAAGGUGCAAGCGUUACUCGGAAUAACUGGGCGUAAAGCGCGCGUAGGCGGUCUUGUAUGUCAAUUGUGAAAGCCCUGGGCUCAACCUAGGAACCGCAGUUGAAACUGCAAGACUUGAAUACUGGAGAGGGUGGGGGAAUACCUAGUGGAGAAGUGAAAUUCGUAGAGAUUAGGUGGAACACCAGAGGCGAAGGCGCCUGCCUGGCCAAGUAUUGACGCUAAGGCGCGAAAGUGCGGGGAGCAAACAGG